Molecule: non-coding RNA, 147 nt
Organism: Ornithorhynchus anatinus (platypus)
Lineage: Eukaryota; Metazoa; Chordata; Mammalia; Monotremata; Ornithorhynchidae
Source: RefSeq, marked provisional
UCACAGGUAGCAGGAUGGAAUAGGGAUUAAGGACAUAUAAAUUAAGGGUAGAGGAGGGCCCAAAGGUGGGAGAUGAGAGUUUAUUACUAUUAUUAUCGUAUCUGUUGAGUGUUUGCUGUGUUUCAAACAUGACUCUAAGCCCUGGGA